AUGUCCGUUGUUUUUCGUUUCCGCAGCUCAACGUUUCCAUCUCACUCAUUCAAUCGUGUCGCCUUCAAUCUCUGCUCACAAUGGUUCGCCUCUGUCUAUGAUUUCGUUCUCAGCUUCACCUCUUCCACGCCGCCAUCGACGAACUCAACCUUCGCUUCUUCACUUCAAACGGCAUUUAGGAAUGAAGAAUGUUGA
Molecule: non-coding RNA, 195 nt
Organism: Vicia faba (fava bean)
Lineage: Eukaryota; Viridiplantae; Streptophyta; Magnoliopsida; Fabales; Fabaceae
Source: the annotation of a GenBank genome assembly